AUUGAACGCUGGCGGCAUGCUUUACACAUGCAAGUCGAACGGUAACAGGUUAAGCUGACGAGUGGCGAACGGGUGAGUAAUGCAUCGGAACGUGCCCGAUCGUGGGGGAUAACUGCUCGAAAGAGCAGCUAAUACCGCAUACGAUCUAUGGAUGAAAGCGGGGGACCGUAAGGCCUCGCGCGAUUGGAGCGGCCGAUGUCAGAUUAGGUAGUUGGUGGGGUAAAGGCUCACCAAGCCAACGAUCUGUAGCUGGUCUGAGAGGACGACCAGCCACACUGGGACUGAGACACGGCCCAGACUCCUACGGGAGGCAGCAGUGGGGAAUUUUGGACAAUGGGGGCAACCCUGAUCCAGCAAUGCCGCGUGCAGGAAGAAGGCCUUCGGGUUGUAAACUGCUUUUGUACGGAACGAAACGGUCUGGGUUAAUACCCUGGGCUAAUGACGGUACCGUAAGAAUAAGCACCGGCUAACUACGUGCCAGCCGCCGCGGUAA
This 493-nucleotide ribosomal RNA is filed under the name uncultured bacterium. RNAcentral describes it as "partial 16S ribosomal RNA". It matches the Rfam family "Bacterial small subunit ribosomal RNA", at positions 30 to 523 of the family's 1533-position model. The record is from RNAcentral.